RNAcentral lists this ribosomal RNA (352 nucleotides) under uncultured bacterium. RNAcentral's name for it is "bacterial SSU rRNA". It matches the Rfam family "Bacterial small subunit ribosomal RNA", at positions 917 to 1271 of the family's 1533-position model. The record is from RNAcentral.
GGGCCCGCACAAGCGGUGGAGCAUGUGGUUUAAUUCGAUGAUACGCGAGGAACCUUACCAGGGCUUAAAUGUAGUCUGACAGGGGUGGAAACACCCCCUCCUUCGGGCAGAUUACAAGGUGCUGCAUGGUUGUCGUCAGCUCGUGCCGUGAGGUGUCAGGUUAAGUCCUAUAACGAGCGCAACCCCUGCCGUUAGUUGCCAGCAUGUAAUGAUGGGAACUCUAACGGAACUGCCGGUGCAAACCGUGAGGAAGGUGGGGACGACGUCAAAUCAUCAUGCCCCUUAUGUCUUGGGCUUCACGCAUGCUACAAUGGCCGGUACAGAGGGCUGCAAUACCGUAAGGUGGAGCGAA